UAAUACAGAGGGUGCGAGCGUUAAUCGGAUUUACUGGGCGUAAAGCGUGCGUAGGCGGCUUUUUAAGUCGGAUGUGAAAUCCCCGAGCUUAACUUGGGAAUUGCAUUCGAUACUGGGAAGCUAGAGUAUGGGAGAGGAUGGUAGAAUUCCAGGUGUAGCGGUGAAAUGCGUAGAGAUCUGGAGGAAUACCGAUGGCGAAGGCAGCCAUCUGGCCUAAUACUGACGCUGAGGUACGAAAGCAUGGGGAGCAAACAGG
RNAcentral lists this ribosomal RNA (256 nucleotides) under uncultured bacterium. RNAcentral's name for it is "partial 16S ribosomal RNA". It matches the Rfam family "Bacterial small subunit ribosomal RNA", at positions 521 to 776 of the family's 1533-position model. RNAcentral also lists the same sequence under 1 other name. The record is from RNAcentral.